This is a long non-coding RNA of Pan troglodytes (chimpanzee), 2655 nucleotides long. RefSeq lists it as uncharacterized. Lineage: Eukaryota; Metazoa; Chordata; Mammalia; Primates; Hominidae. The transcript has 3 exons. The record is from RefSeq and is a predicted model, not a curated record.
AACAAUCAACAGGGCUUUGAAGUGGAAAAGGAGUGGGUGGUAGGGGGGGUGUGUGGCUUUAGGGUCUCUGGCUUAGGAAGCUGAGUCUCCGUAGUGCCAUUCAUACAGAUGGAAUGAGGGAAGAAGCAGUUUCAUGGGAAAGUAGUAAAUUUGAUUGAGUAACAAGAGCUUGGGGGAUCCAGAAGAGAGCUAGGUUUGCAGUUCAGGAGUCCAGGAGAGAGUCAAACUGAAAACAUAAGCCCAUGGAUAGUCAGUCAUUGAAGCCAUGGGAAUGAAGAUCACCUAUGGGAAACACAGAUAGAAGCGAAUGUUACCACAGUGAAGUGUGGUCUAUACAAUUAAUUGCUGCAAAGAGGUCAGAAUAGAGUGAUCUGUGAUAUCUUCCCACUAAUCCCAAGUCAGGAGAGAGAGAGAAUGAAGAUCCAUUGCUGUAGAGGAACAAACUGAACAUGUUGAAGGUCCCGCAAGGCCAGUGUGGCUGGAAUGCAGACACAAAGCCAGGAGGAACAAGAGAUGGGGCUGACAAGAGAGGCAGGAGUCAGAUCUCAUGGGAACUGUCACCUGCAGUGUUGCAGACCUCUUUGAAUACACCAUGAGCACUGUGGAUUCUCGCCUCUGGAGAAUAAAAAUCACAUACAGAAAAGUUCAGACAACUUUAAGGAGUUUGAAGAAUCCCUGCUAGUCGUGGACCCAUCUGGGGUUGGUGGAUUCCUGACCAUGACUCUUUGGAUUCAGAAGUCAUAUAAGAUGCAGUUUAACAAACAUUGGAAGUCAAACGAGCAUUCUGAGGAAAAACAGCAUCUUCCAUACAUCAUCUUCUGGAAUAUCCCAGAUCUGGAAGAGGUCACAGGAAUGUCCAUUCAUAGGGAGCUCUACCUGGAGCUCAGAGAUGAUUGAGAGAGGGUAAUCAUCAUAGAUGUGUCCAAGUGAAGGUAGUUUGGAAAGAAACAAAGUUACCCUUUUUUCUCACUAAACAUCUUAGGGUCCCCAUUAGCAGGAAGGAAGGAAGAGGACAGGUGAGCUCCCUGGUAUUGAUGUAUUUACAGAGAACCUAGGCAUCAGCCAUACAUACAGAGGACACUCAUUUGGCCAGAAUUUGGGCUUUGACUUUAAUUAAAUUCCCUUGCUCCCAAUAAGACCUCUCUUAAUCUGAAAACAAUUUGUCAUAAGUGAUGUACCUGCCAAGACCUCAUGGCAAAGAGGCAGGGGGUACCUAGUAAAUGUUGCUGACAAACUCCAGCAUGACUCUAAAGGGACAGUGGCUUCCUUUGGAUGGUCAUGUGCUGCUGCUGGACAUAGCAAUCAGAAGGACAGUCGUGAACACCCAGGAGUGAACCAAGAUGCAAAGUUCAAGUCCGAGGGAAGAAGGGUGCAGUGCGGAAGAAGGGAAGGCAGAUGCUGCAGCCCUGCCUACAAGCAAGGAGGGAGCCAUUAAGAGCCCCAAGCUGGCCAGGCGCGGUGGCUCGCGCCUGUAUUCCUAAUCCCGGCACUUUGGGAAGCCAAGGUGGACGGAUCACCUGAGGUCAGGAGUUUGAGACCAGCUUGACCAACAUGGAGAAACUCUGUCUCUACUAAAAAUACAAAAUUAGCCAGGAGGCUGAGGCAGAAGAAUUGCUAGAAUCCGGGAGGUAGAGGUUGCAGUGAGCCGAGAUCGUGCCAUUGCACUCUAGCCUGGGCAACAAGAGCGAAACUCCAUCUCAAAAAAACAAAAAAGCCCCAAGCCUACUUUAUCAGACAGAGGAAUCAAGUUGUAUUUCCUUCUCACCAAGAGAUGCUGGAAAGCUGUAAUCUUACACCAGUGGAGAAAGUGAGAGGAAAAUAAACCCUUUCUAAGGAUGAAUCCUGAAAGCCUUUCACAGACAAUGCUGGUUCUAUAAGAAUGACCUGUGAUGGGUAAGCCAUCACAGUCUUCAUUCCAAUUGACAUUCUAGGUAAACCUGCGCACAACUUUUUCUGUGUAUUUUCCAAAAAAGGAUCAUUUUAUAAAGGCUCAAGUUAUUUACAAAUAUUGUGCAUAUUCUUGCUGUUUCUCAGUUCUUUAAGAACCAUACAGACAUAUUGCCUGGAUUUCCACCAGCCAAUAUGAAUGUGCUCGCCUUCCCUUGGGUGAGACCACACAGGCACAACAUGCGGCUCAGGAUAAGUUUUAUUGAACUUUUAGAGAGCUAGUUAAUUAAUUAAUUAUUUUUUUGAGAUGGAGUCUUGCUCUGUCGCCCAGGUUGGGGUGCAGUGGCAUGAUCUCAGCUCACUCUGCCUUCCGGGUUCAAGUGAUUCUCUUGCCUCAGCCCCCGGAGUAGCUGGGAUUACUGGCAUGUGCCACAACACCCAGCUCAUUUUUGUAUUUUUAGUACAAACUGGAUUUCACCAUGUUGGGCAGGCUGGCCUCGAACUCCUGACCUCACGUAAUCUGCCCGCCUCGGCCUCCCAAAGUGUUGGGAUUACAGGCGUGAGCCACAGCGCCUGGACCAAGAGCUAGUUAAUUUAAAAAAUAGUUUACAAGUUAUUUAAUAAAUGAGAAAAUGGAAACUCAGCCCCAAGGGGAAAUGGGAUUCUAAGUUUAACUUCCUUAGGCAGGUCCAGUUUUGUGUGGUUUCUGUGGUAUGGGUGAGUGGUUAUCACACAAUUUGAUCUCAUGAGUAAAACUGAUGCAGGAGG